This 856-nucleotide long non-coding RNA is filed under the name Salmo salar (Atlantic salmon). RNAcentral describes it as "lncRNA (ENSSSAG00000116473.1)". Lineage: Eukaryota; Metazoa; Chordata; Actinopteri; Salmoniformes; Salmonidae. The record is from RNAcentral.
GUAGAGACAGAGAGAGAGAGAGAGAGGGUAGAGACAGAGAGGGUAGAGACAGAGAGAGAGAGAGGGUAGAGACAGAGAGGGUAGAGACAGAGAGAGAGAGAGGGUAGAGACAGAGAGGUAGAGACAGAGAGAGAGAGAGAGAGAGAGGGUAGAGACAGAGAGAGAGGGUAGAGACAGAGAGAGAGAGAGGGUAGAGACAGAGAGAGAGAGAGGGUAGAGACAGAGAGAGAGAGGGUAGAGACAGAGAGAGGGUAGAGACAGAGAGAGGAGACAGAGAGAGAGAGAGAGGGUAGAGACAGAGAGAGAGAGAGGGUAGAGACAGAGAGAGAGAGGGUAGAGACAGAGAGAGAGAGGGUAGAGACAGAGAGAGAGAGAGAGAGAGGGUAGAGACAGAGAGAGAGAGAGGGUAGAGACAGAGAGAGAGAGGAGGUAGAGAGAGAGAGAGAGGGUAGAGAGAGAGAGAGAGGGUAGAGACAGAGAGAGAGGGUAGAGACAGAGAGAGAGAGAGGGUAGAGACAGAGAGAGAGAGAGGGUAGAGACAGAGAGAGAGAGGGUAGAGACAGAGAGAGGGUAGAGACAGAGAGAGAGAGGGUAGAGACAGAGAGAGAGAGAGAGAGAGGGUAGAGACAGAGAGAGAGAGGGUAGAGACAGAGAGAGAGAGGGUAGAGACAGAGAGAGAGAGGGUAGAGACAGAGAGAGAGAGGGUAGAGACAGAGAGAGAGAGAGGGUAGAGACAGAGAGAGAGAGAGGGUAGAGACAGAGAGAGAGAGAGGGUAGAGACAGAGAGAGAGAGAGGGUAGAGACAGAGAGAGAGAGAGGGUAGAGACAGAGAGAGAGGGUAGAGACAGAGAGAGAG